This 402-nucleotide ribosomal RNA is filed under the name uncultured bacterium. RNAcentral describes it as "bacterial SSU rRNA". It matches the Rfam family "Bacterial small subunit ribosomal RNA", at positions 355 to 774 of the family's 1533-position model. The record is from RNAcentral.
UCGGGAAUUUUGGGCAAUGGGCGAAAGCCUGACCCAGCAACGCCGCGUGAGGGAUGAAGUAUUUCGGUAUGUAAACCUCGAAAGAAUGGGAAGAAUAAAUGACGGUACCAUUUAUAGGCUCCGGCUAACUACGUGCCAGCAGCCGCGGUAAUACGUAGGGAGCAAGCGUUGUUCGGAUUUACUGGGCGUAAAGGGCGCGUAGGCGGCGCGGUAAGUCACUUGUGAAAUCUCUGAGCUUAACUCAGAACGGCCAAGUGAUACUGCUGUGCUAGAGUGCGGAAGAGGCAACCGGAAUUCUUGGUGUAGCGGUGAAAUGCGUAGAUAUCAAGAGGCACACCUGAGGCGAAGGCGGGUUGCUGGGCCGACACUGACGCUGAUGCGCGAAAGCCAGGGGAGCAAACG